This 484-nucleotide ribosomal RNA is filed under the name uncultured bacterium. Its description in RNAcentral is "partial 16S ribosomal RNA". It matches the Rfam family "Bacterial small subunit ribosomal RNA", at positions 28 to 507 of the family's 1533-position model. The record is from RNAcentral.
AUUGAACGCUGGCGGCAUGCUUUACACAUGCAAGUCGAACGGCAGCGCGGGCUUCGGCCUGGCGGCGAGUGGCGAACGGGUGAGUAAUUCAUCGGAACGUGCCCAGUAGUGUGGUCUUGCCCGGCGACAGCCGGAUUAAUACCGCAUACGACCUGAGGGUGAACGCGGGGGACCGAAAGGCCUCGCGCUAUUGGAGCGUCCGAUGUCGGAUUAGCUAGUUGGUGGGGUAAAGGCUUACCAAGGCGACGAUCCGUAGCUGGUCUGAGAGGACGACCAGCCACACUGGGACUGAGACACGGUCCAGACUCCUACGGGAGGCAGCAGUGGGGAAUUUUGGACAAUGGGGGCAACCCUGAUCCAGCCAUGCCGCGUGCGGGAAGAAGGCCUUCGGGUUGUAAACCGCUUUUGUUCGGGAAGAAAACCUCUGGGCUAAUACCCCGGGGGGAUGACGGUACCGGAAGAAUAAGCACCGGCUAACUACGUG